CCCCACUCCCCUACCCCACCCCGAGUCUCCUCUGAGGCUUCCUUGCCCUUGAACCAGCAAGUGGAAGUGUGGCCCAUUUGAAUGGAUGACGGUGAUACGCUGCUGGAAGCGAGGGCGAUGGGUCUGCUCAGCGGUGGGCAAAGCGCUAGGGGUGUUGGAGGACAGGGUUCAAAUGCCCAGCUCAGUUGUGAAAUCUUGGCAAAACUUUGGGCAAGUCACUGGUCUGCUCUGCAGCUCAGCCUCCACAGGGGCAAACAGCAAGAGGCUGGAGAGGCGCUCUGUGGCCCCGCCCCAUCAGGUCAAGGAGCAUGCGCCAACAGCUCCGCAGGGUUGAGCAAGGCGAGGCUCACUCAAUGAAUGAGAGAAGGCAGCCUGGCUCUCAGGGGACUCACAGGCCGUCUGGAUAGGAGCGAAGAGUGUCCACAGUAUGGUGCGACAGAACACAGCACAGGAUCAGGAGCCAUAGUGAGCAGCCAGACACUCCGUGCUCGUGCAGGGGUAGGGGUGGUGGCGGCAGGCUGGAGUCCUCUGCGCCAGCUUCUUGCAAGAGGGUCCGCUUGUGGCCCCACGUAAGUGAGGCUCGUUGGGGAGCAGCCCGGGAGGCAUUCCGGAGGCUGGGGAAGCAGGACAAGCGCCAGCACAGUCUGAGGCAGGACCAGCAUGGCAGUCAGGAACGGCCGUGGGGGGAACUAGGCACACUGGGGGCCAGAGACAGGGGUGGGCACAGAUAAUGGGGUCUUAACGCAGGCUGAGGCCUCUGAGCCGAGAAGUCCAGUUAAGGCAGGAUAGCUAAGGGCUCACAUGAACUCGGCAGCCAGGACACAUGGUCAAGACAGGAAGUAGCUGCAGACCCCUCCUCCUUUUGUCCCCUCUUCCCUGGGCAGCCUCCUGGUGCCUAGUGACAGCUUGGGCUCCAGGCCUCGUGGUCGUUUUCCUCAGAAAGUCCAACUUCCCGUCUCCUCCCUCCUUUUAUCACCCUUCUCCCUUGGGAUCCCCAGGGCUCAGUUCCACCGCAGGACCAGGGCAGGGAGGUCCAGGGACAUGUGGGGUCUUGAGCAGACCAGAGUGUCUGUUCAUUUUAGGGAGGUGGGACAAUCACAUUACCUGAACAGGAUGCUCCGAAGACUGAACACAGCUAGGGAGAGCUAGGUGAUAACCAGCUGGGAAGACCUGCGAUGGGAAUUCAACACCCAGAGGGAUAUGUACAGUUGCACGCCACAUAAUGACCUUUUGGUCAAUGAUGGACCUCAUAUGGGCUGGUGGUCCCAUAAGAUGAGUAUAGCCUGGGUAUGUAGUAGGCUCUACCAUCUAGGUGUGUGUAAGAGUUCUUUUUGAUAUUCUCCCAACGAUGAGAUCACCUAAGGACGCAUUUCUCAGAACGUGGCCCCGUCAUUAAGUGACACAUGGCUGUAUGUGGUCAGAGUGCAGCACGGCAAGCAGACCUCAGAUAAACUAGUCUUUUAAAUGGCAUCAAACCAAGUUAAAAAAAUAUUUUUUUCUUUGUUAGUUAUCAAAGUUUUUAUACAGAUUUUAUAUAAAUAGUCUCUCUACAUUUUUACAUGAACCUUUUAUUUUAGGAUAGUUUUAGAUUUUAGAAAAGUUAUGAAGACAUUGCAGAGUUCCCAGAUACCCCACACCCAGUUUCCCCUAUUAGUAAUCUCUUACAUUAGUAUGGUGCAUUUGUCACAAUUAACAAACCAAUAAUGAUGUAUUAUUAUUGACUGAAGUCCAUACUUCAUUCAUAUUUCCUUAGCUUUCACCUAAUGUCCUUUUUCUGUUCCAGGAUCCCAUCCAGGACACCUCGUUACAUUUAGUCAUCACAUCUCUUUAGGCUCCUCUUGGCUGUGACAGUUUCUCAGUAGUUCCUUAUCUUUGAAGACUUUGACAGCUUUGGGGAGGGCCGGUCAGGGAUUAGUAAUGUCCCUCACUCAAGAGUUGUUUGGUGUUUCUUCUCAUGGGCUUAGGGUUUUGGGGGAGGAAGACCAGAGUGGUCAAGUGUCCUUCUCAUCGCAUCAUGUCAAGGGCACAUGCCAUCAACGUGACUUAUGACUGUUGAUGUUGACCUUGGUCACCAGACUGGUGGGUGGCUGUCAGGUUCUCCACUGUAAAGUGACUCUUUCCCCCCAUCCAUGCUGUCCUCUUUGGAGGAAAGUUACUGUGCACAGCCCACACUGAAGGGGCGGGAGUGACGCUGCCCCUCCGUGAGGGCAGAGAUCUACAUCAACUAUUUGGAAUUCCUCUGCAUGGGAGAUGUGCCUAUUUCCCCCACUAUUUUAUUUAUUCAAUCGUUUAUUAUAUCGGUAUGGAGUCAUGGAUAUUUAUUUUAUACUUUGGGUUUUAAUUCCAUACCACUUAAUUUUCUUGCUCAGGUUGUUCCAAUUUUGGCUGUUUUGUUCCUCCACACAUUUUUACACACACGUUGUUACAAUGAAAGGAUUUGUCAUCUUUUCGCCCACUCAUGUAUUCCUCCACCCGACACUGACUGAGCACCUUUGAGGAGUGAGAACUGAAGAUACAGAGAUGAGGCUGACUCCUCACUCUGCUUUCUCCCCCUAACUGAUCUGCUCCCUCCUGCCUUCCCCUCUGAUACUCCUUGCUCAGUGCUCUCUUUCUCCCAUCCCUCCUGGCCCCACUUUUCCCAGGGACCAUUCUUAUAGCUCCUGGAAUGGAAACUCUGUCCCCCGCUCAAACACUCCCAGGGCGAAAACACAUCAUUGACCCAUCAUGCCUGGGAGUGGGGUCCCUGUCUUGCCUGAGGCCCAGAGGGAGUCAGGUCUCUGGUCAGGCCUUCUUGGCCCUCUGACCAUUCACAGGCAGUGCACAGAGAGAAAGAAAGGAGGAACAGCCUCUUAUUUCCCCACAGUUUCUUCUUGGACAUUCUCCGAGCUUUCCCCAGCAACAAUGAAGGACUGUGAGAGAGGGAAAGGUGUGGAGUGAUGGAGAUGGGGAGAAGUUGGGCAAAGAGAACAACUGAGACAGGGCUGAGGUCUCCAGGCCCAGAGACAGACCCUGCAGCUGGUGGCCCCCCAUGCAGGCCUGGCUGCCCCUCCCUCCCCUCUGCCCACACAGCCCGCCGCUCAGGCCAAUGGCUUCCCCAGUCAAGGUGUUGCUCUUUCUCAGUUCUUCCAACUGAGAGAGGCUGGGAAACUGAGGCAGAAUCAGGCCCAGCUUCUGGUUUUCUCUCCCCAGAGGGCUCCCCUUUUCUCCACUCCUCCAUUGUCAAAAACAGGCUGGGGAUGACAUGGCUUGGGGAGCCCCACACCUGCUCCUGCCACCUGUCCUCCUGGUGCUCCUGGCCUCAGGUGAGAUGGAGGGGGUGAAGGAGAGGGUGGGGCAGGGAGCAGGGUGACUCUGUGACCAGAGGGCUGGCUUUGAAGACCGUGUUCUGGAUGUGGGCAUCAGAAGUUGCUCCCUGUCCCCUUUCCCUGGCCCUGGGAGAGGUGUGGCUGGGUCCGGCCAGGGCCCUGAACUGAGAGCUUGUUAUCCAGGUUCCUGGGGAAAGACAGUCAUGCCUGAAGAGUUUCAUGAAGUGGCGGGGCAGACACUCUCCGUGCAGUGGCAGUACCCUCUCGAGGGAGGGCCCUACAACAGGAGAACUCGGUGUCAGCAGACAUCUUCACAUGAGUGUACCUGAUCAGUCACCAGCUCCAAGCUCCCGACAGCAGCUCAGGACUCUUGACACAUGAUCUGGGAUGCAUUGGGUGCUGGCCUCUUCAUCAUCACCAUGAUUCAGCGGACGGAGGAGGACUUCGGGUCCUAAUGGUCUAGAAGCUACAACUCUUCCAGGAACUUGGUCACUAUUCUCAGAAACAUCAGCCUGGUCUUGUCUCCGGAAGAGCUCCUUUCUUAAGGAAAUGCCCCCUCCCUCCCAGGCCUGCGGGAAAUGUCACUCACCCACUUUGUGUGACUCCAUCACCCCAGAUCCUACCAGGUCUUCUGCUCUGAUCCAAGGGGAGCGGGGGCCCUGGUCUCCAGAGAUGGGCUCUCACCUCUUCUCCACUUUGCCAGUCCUGGCCCCAACUAGUAGGAAGCCCCAACCACUUUCCUGUGUGGACCCCCACCUCACUCCUACCAAGUACAGUUCUGAUCAUUUCUCCAGAGGGGACCUCUGGCCCAUCUUCCCUCAAUGGCUCUGAGCACAGGAACAGGAUGAGCACAGGUGGGAAACACACCUACAAGGCAUCCGUCCCAGCUGAGAGAAGAAGGGAACAAUCAAAGACCCUGGAGUCCAUCAUGCCUGAAGGAAACCCCCUGC
RNAcentral lists this long non-coding RNA (4255 nucleotides) under Equus caballus (horse). Its description in RNAcentral is "lncRNA (ENSECAG00000050034.1)". Lineage: Eukaryota; Metazoa; Chordata; Mammalia; Perissodactyla; Equidae. The record is from RNAcentral.